Molecule: ribosomal RNA, 499 nt
Filed under: uncultured bacterium
Lineage: Bacteria
Description: partial 16S ribosomal RNA
Rfam family: Bacterial small subunit ribosomal RNA
Source: RNAcentral
GACGAACGCUGGCGGCGUGCCUAAUACAUGCAAGUCGUGCGGACCUUUUAAAAGCUUGCUUUUAAAAGGUUAGCGGCGGACGGGUGAGUAACACGUGGGCAACCUGCCUGUAAGACUGGGAUAACGCCGGGAAACCGGGGCUAAUACCAGAUCGUUUUUUCCUCCGCAUGGAGGAAAAAGGAAAGGCGGCUUCGGCUGCCACUUACAGAUGGGCCCGCGGCGCAUGAGCUAGUUGGCGGGGUAACGGCCCACCAAGGCAACGAUGCGUAGCCGACCUGAGAGGGUGGUCGGCCACAUUGGGACUGAGACACGGCCCAAACGCCUUCGGGAGGCAGCAGUAGGGAAACUUCCGCAAUGGACGAAAGACUGACGGCGCAACGCCGCGUGAGUGAAGAAGGCCGUCGGGUCGGAAAACUCUGUUGCCGGGGAAGAACAAGUGCCGUUCGAACAGGGCGGCGCCUUGACGGUACCCGGCCAGAAAGCCACGGCUAACUACGUG